AAGACCUUACUUCAUAGGAUCAUUUCUAUAGUAAGCUCUUCACGAGAUCUACACACUACGUGUGAUCGUACCGGCCGCGAUGAGGAGUCGUGGCGCGGCGCCCUGAGCGUGAGGCGGGCGGCGGCUCUGGCCGCCAGCCCUCGAUGAUCGUUCACCGCUCUCCUGGGGAGCGGCGUGGGGCGCUGUCGCUGUCUGAGUGGC
RNAcentral lists this small nucleolar RNA (201 nucleotides) under Melitaea cinxia (Glanville fritillary). RNAcentral describes it as "misc RNA ENSMCXG00005022953.1". It matches the Rfam family "Small nucleolar RNA U3". From Rfam's summary of the family: Small nucleolar RNAs (snoRNAs) are involved in the processing and modification of rRNA in the nucleolus. There are two main classes of snoRNAs: the box C/D class, and the box H/ACA class. Lineage: Eukaryota; Metazoa; Arthropoda; Insecta; Lepidoptera; Nymphalidae. The record is from RNAcentral.